UUCCGGUUGAUCCUGCCGGACCUGACUGCUAUCGGAUUGAUACUAAGCCAUGUGAGUCAUUGUAGCAAUACAAGGCAGACGGCUCAGUAACACGUAGCCAACCUACCCUAUGGACGGGGAUAACCUCGGGAAACUGAGGAUAAACCCCGAUAGAUCAUUACACCUGGAACGGUUUAUGGUCCAAAUGAUUCGUCGCCGUAGGAUGGGACUGCGGCCUAUCAGCUUGUUGGUGAGGUAAUGGCCCACCAAGGCUAUUACAGGUACGGGCUCUGAGAGGAGAAGCCCGGAGAUGGGUACUGAGACACGGACCCAGGCCCUAUGGGGCGCAGCAGGCGAGAAAACUUUGCAAUGUGCGCAAGCACGACAAGGUUAAUCCGAGUGAUUCCUGCUAAAGGAAUCUUUUGCUAGUCCUAAAAACACUAGCGAAUAAGGGGUGGGCAAGUUCUGGUGUCAGCCGCCGCGGUAAAACCAGCACCUCAAGUGGUCAGGAGGAUUAUUGGGCCUAAAGCAUCCGUAGCCUGCUUUGUAAGUUUCCGGUUAAAUCCAUUAGCUCAACUGAUGGGCCGCCGGAAAAACUGCAAAGCUAGGGAGUGGGAGAGGUAGACGGUACUCGGUAGGAAGGGGUAAAAUCCUUUGAUCUAUUGAUGACCACCAGUGGCGAAGGCGGUCUACCAGAACACGUUCGACGGUGAGGGAUGAAAGCUGGGGGAGCAAACCGGAUUAGAUACCCGGGUAGUCCCAGCUGUAAACGAUGCAGACUCGGUGAUGCCCUGGCUUGUGGCCAGUGCAGUGCCGCAGGGAAGCCGUUAAGUUUGCCGCCUGGGAAGUACGUACGCAAGUAUGAAACUUAAAGGAAUUGGCGGGGGAGCACCACAAGGGGUGAAGCCUGCGGUUCAAUUGGAGUCAACGCCGGG
Molecule: ribosomal RNA, 914 nt
Filed under: uncultured Nitrosopumilales archaeon
Lineage: Archaea; Thermoproteati; Nitrososphaerota; Nitrososphaeria; Nitrosopumilales
Description: bacterial SSU rRNA
Rfam family: Archaeal small subunit ribosomal RNA
Source: RNAcentral